AGGGAUCAACGUGUCCUCCCCCUCCGAGAGGAGCGGGUAACCCGUUGAAAUCCUUUCAUGAUAGGGAUUGGGGUUUGCAAUUGUCUCCCAUGAACGAGGAAUUCCCAGUAAGCGCAAGUCAUCAGCAUGCGUUGAUUACGUCCCUGACCUUUGUACACACCGCCCGUCGCUACUACCGAUUGAAUGGCUCAGUGAGGCGUUCGGACUGGCGCUCUUGGAUGCCGGGCCC
This 229-nucleotide ribosomal RNA is filed under the name Escherichia coli. Its description in RNAcentral is "partial 16S ribosomal RNA". It matches the Rfam family "Eukaryotic small subunit ribosomal RNA", at positions 1507 to 1738 of the family's 1831-position model. Lineage: Bacteria; Pseudomonadati; Pseudomonadota; Gammaproteobacteria; Enterobacterales; Enterobacteriaceae. The record is from RNAcentral.